This is a long non-coding RNA of Silurus meridionalis, 3479 nucleotides long. RefSeq lists it as uncharacterized. The record is from RefSeq and is a predicted model, not a curated record. The transcript has 2 exons. NCBI's taxonomy places the organism in Eukaryota, Metazoa, Chordata, Actinopteri, Siluriformes, Siluridae.
CUCUGAAAUACUCCAGCCAGCAUGUAUUGAUGACCCUCUGGUUUACGGAUGGCUCCUUCGAAGGACACAGUGCUGGGAAAACUGCACUUGAUGCAAGGCUCAGGAAGGGUAUACACAGAGAAAAUACACAGCUGCCCAUCCUAAUGCCCUACGUCUUGAAGAAGUUCUCAUCAACCAGACACCACUCACUGCAGCUGUGAAUGGGCCUACAUGGACAGCCUAACGAUACACACGAUUACUGUGGAUUGUACCAUUUGGAAACCAUGAAGAUGGCUUUGGAGGGCAUUUGAUGUAAUAGCUUUACAUCUGUAAUUGCCACAAAAAGUCUCUUUCAGUGAAAGCACUGGGCACGUUAGCACUUGAAUGAAUUUUCUGGCUACACAAUUGGGCUUUUUGACAUUAUAGUACACAAAAAGGUAAUAAUUUAUAAACGCACUAUCCGGUGAUGAGGAGGGGGAGUCUUAACGUUUCUGUCCCGUGUCAUCUCAGGAAGUAUUUCUGCCACCAUUCCCUCUGACUGGCUCAUUAUCGAUAAAUACCAGCAAAAUUAAUUAUCUUCUUCUGCUCUUCAUACCUGCCUGAUCCAUCCUGAUGUUCUUCUGGCUGGAGUUCUCAAACCAUUCGCUGCUGCUGAGGAUGGCUCAACAUAGACAGCCAAAAGAUACAGGAGAUUAUUGUGGAUGAUACCACUUAGAGUCCUUGAAGACAACUUUCCACUGUAACUGCCAAGAACAGUUUUGUACUCAAGUCUCCAUCAGUGAAUAGUGGAUAACUUUAACACAAUAUACUUCUUAUUAAAACUCCAAUGGUUAUAGCACCUUUUCUAUAUAGUAUCCAUAUAGCGGAUGGGUUUCCACUGUCUGUAUUCUAUCUGUAAAGCUGCUAUUAGAUAAUGUCCAUUGUAAAAACCUCUACACAAAUAAAACUAAUUUUAUCAAAUUAAAUUCAUUUAAAUAUCUCCAUUACACCCAUUUUAUAUAACUUAUAUAUUUACUCUUUACAUCAAAUAAUAGAAAUGAUUUACAGCCUGUGUCCUGGACACACCUACUUCUGUCACCCCUGACUGCUCCAAAUGAAAUCUUCCAACUAGAGCCUUCCAGCUGUAUGAAUUACGGCUAUAAUGAGAAGAAAAGUUGUCUCACCUUGGGUGUUUCUCUCAAAAAUACACCAAAAGUAAAUGCCCCCGAACAUUUCAGGUUUCACAGCAAACUACAUCACGCUGACACAACAUCAGUGCCUGACCUCAAUAAAGCUCUUGUGGAUGAGUGAGCAAAUCCCCUCAGCCACACUCCAAAAUUUUGUGAAAAGAGUGGAGAUUGUUAUGACAGCAAAAAGGAAUGAAAUGCGAGAACUGUGCAGGUGUCCACAACCUUUUAGAUAUAUAAUGUUUAUUUGCUAGGAGUUUUCUUUGUGCAGCAUCAUGAUGAAACAGAUAAUAGAUCUUUAACAAAUAUUUGUUACAUUAAAUGUUAAUUUAAAAAGAGCUGUGUAGAUUAAAAUUGUAUAUGUUUACUAGUAGGUAUACAUUAUGUACAUAACAUUUUUAACAUUGUUGUAUUUUGUAUUCCUCCUCUAGAACAGUCAAAUGACCUCUUCAGACAUUCCUCAAAAUCUAAUAAGCACUCACUUGAUUUAUGAUUAUUUUCAUUUCUCAAUUGAGCCUAUACUGCUUCUAAAUGUUCUAUUUCCCUAUAAUGUCACUUAUGAUUUAUCAGUGCAGUGGUAUUUACAGGUACGAUAUAUACAGUCAUAAUAAGGCAAAAUACUGUACCUAUACUGAAUCCCACUGUGCUGCAACUUUACCUCUGCAAUUUUGGCUGCAUUUGUGAGUAUGAUAGAAAUUUGUAUUCCAACUAUAAUUGUUAAGAAAUAAUGGAUGUUCAAAUGUCUACCAGAGGCCUACUAAAACUAAAAGCAUGUACAGUGACUAAAUAUUGAAACUGACAAUGAUUGUAUUCUUUCAAUUCAUAGAAGAGCUUGUGAGGCAACUAGUCUAAAGUAGCACCAACAUAUUUAUUUUACAGUAAAAUGAAGUGCAAUGACUGGUGGCAAAGGUGGUACAUGUAAUUACUGUAUAUUACCUAUAUUUAUAUAUAAUAUAUACAUAUAUUUUAUAUAAAAUAUUAACUCUUAUGGUUGCACGUUUAGCUGUAGUCUUGGUAUGUAUGUUUCCAUACAAUCUUUAUCUACUGAUCAACACAAUCCAGUAGCUUUUUACCAAAUACAUUUGGGAACGAUAUAAAGAUAAAUAGACCGCUCUUAGGACCACCAGUGCAACUGUACAUCAGGUGUAGAAUUGAGAUAUUUUAGAAAGUUUCACAGGUUCACAUUGUAUCUGAUCAUAAAUAUAGUUUAGUAACUGCAUAAAUUGAGUUGGGUUAAACUAGGGUUAGUUUGUUUGCAUUUUGGUACAUAGAAUCCAUCUCUAUUUCCUUAAAAUAUAUCAUGGGUGGAUACAACAAAAGUACACACAGCUACUACACAUUUUAUUUUUCCUAAUAUCAACUGGAAGGAUGUAGCUGAGUUUGAGGAAUAUUAAGGAAUCACCAGGGAUGGAAUUUACACACCAUGCUGGCACUGCUCGUAUUUCGACCUCUGGGUUUUUCGAGGGCAUAUUGGUAGGGUUGAUUUUUUUAUAAAGGAAUCAUUCAGUUAUAUUUGUUGCACUAAACAGCUUUGACAUCAUAAAGCAUGUUGCUCGCACAGCCGAAGUAAGACAUUUGCACAAACCUUACUGUGGCUUGCUAAUUAUGUGUACUAAGCUUAAUUUUUACUACAUCUACUUAUAUUACAGGAUUUUGCUUUGUUACUGCCAAGCUAAUGAACAGUGCAUUAAUGACUGACUUGCUGGGAUUUUAUGGAGGUUCCAUUCAUAAAGCUCUCCAAAGAGAUCCCAUUCUACUGUCAGUGCAUUUCAGAUGAGAUUACCUGCAUCAGAAACACUUGUCUUAGUAAAGCAGUGUAAAUAGUUUGGGACUAAUGAGCUUAAACUUUGUCAUGAAUCUAAAGCUGAAAUUCGAAACAAGUCCUUUUAAACAUGUGCUUUGAAAAAAGUAAUAUACAAACUGUUUUAUACAGAUAAAUGUUCAUUUUUUUUUUUUUUAUUGCCAGUAUCCCUUCGGUUCACACAGAGGAACAACACUCAUUCAUUAAGCCCAUCACACAAACAGGGUUAAAGAAACACAGCUGAACCACUGACCACCACUUUUUUUUUUUUUUUGUACAUUCCACUGCCUUUGGUCCUGUUAACAAACCCCUGUGCAGACCACAGGCCAGUAUGCAUAGUGCAGGUGUGAGGGAAUAUGCGAGUGUGUUAGUUUACAGGUUUUAUAUACGGGGAAGAUGCAUGUGAUUUCUAAGCCAUUUCCAUCAAGUUUCUACAGUCUAUUAUAAAAUGCCUUGCUAAUGUCUGAGUUAUUAGACAAAUACAAUGCAAUGUAAUUUACAAUAACGUCAAAUCAAAUGCAAAAAAAAAUAAA